Ribosomal RNA from Sinocyclocheilus anshuiensis, 120 nucleotides. The record is from Ensembl. Lineage: Eukaryota; Metazoa; Chordata; Actinopteri; Cypriniformes; Cyprinidae.
GCUUAUGGCCACACCACCCCUGUCUGUGCCCGAUCUCGUCUGGUCUCGGAAGCUAAGCAGGGUCGGGCCUGACUAGUACUUGGAUGGGAGACAGUCUGGGAAUACCUGGUGCUGUAAGCU